GAUGAACGCUAGCGACAGGCCUAACACAUGCAAGUCGAGGGGCAGCACAAGGUAGCAAUACUGAGGUGGCGACCGGCGCACGGGUGAGUAACGCGUAUGCAACCUGCCUGUAACAGGGGAAUAGCCUCUUGAAAGAGAGAUUAAUGCCGCAUAAUACGAGAUUCGGGCAUCCGGAUUUAGUUAAACAUUUAUGGGUUACAGAUGGGCAUGCGUUUCAUUAGGUAGUUGGUGAGGUAACGGCUCACCAAGCCGACGACGAAUAGGGGUUCUGAGAGGAAGGUCCCCCACACUGGUACUGAGACACGGACCAGACUCCUACGGGAGGCAGCAGUGAGGAAUAUUGGUCAAUGGACGCAAGUCUGAACCAGCCAAGUCGCGUGAAGGAUGAAGGUAUUAUGUAUUGUAAACUUCUUUUGUCAGGGAAUAAUGGGUGUCACGUGUGACGCAGAGGAAUGUACCUGACGAAUAAGCAUCGGCUAACUCCGUGCCAGCAGCCGCGGUAAUACGGAGGAUGCGAGCGUUAUCCGGAUUUAUUGNGUUUAAAGGGUGCGUAGGCGGUUUGUUAAGUCAGUGGUGAAA
Molecule: ribosomal RNA, 579 nt
Filed under: uncultured prokaryote
Description: bacterial SSU rRNA
Rfam family: Bacterial small subunit ribosomal RNA
Source: RNAcentral